RNAcentral lists this ribosomal RNA (514 nucleotides) under uncultured bacterium. RNAcentral's name for it is "partial 16S ribosomal RNA". It matches the Rfam family "Bacterial small subunit ribosomal RNA", at positions 28 to 523 of the family's 1533-position model. The record is from RNAcentral.
GACGAACGCUGGCGGCAUGCCUAAUACAUGCAAGUCGAGCGGACAGAAGGGAGCUUGCUCCCGGAAGUCAGCGGCGGACGGGUGAGUAACACGUGGGCAACCUGCCCCUUAGAUUGGAAUAACUUCGGGAAACCGAAGCUAAUACCGAAUAAUACAAGGAACCUCCUGGUUCUCUGUUGAACGAUGGCCUUUGUGCUGUCACUAAGGGAUGGGCCCGCGGCGCACUAGCUAGUUGGUAAGGUAACGGCUUACCAAGGCGACGAUGCGUAGCCGACCUGAGAGGGUGAUCGGCCACACUGGGACUGAGACACGGCCCAGACUCCUACGGGAGGCAGCAGUAGGGAAUCUUCCGCAAUGGACGAAAGUCUGACGGAGCAAUGCCGCGUGAGUGAGGAAGGCCUUCGGGUCGUAAAGCUCUGUUGUGAGGGAAGAACAAGUACCGGCGUAACUACCGGUACCGUGACGGUACCUCACCAGAAAGCCACGGCUAACUACGUGCCAGCCGCGGCAGUAA